GUGACUUCUGGUAAAUCAAAUACUUUGGACUUAAAACCAGGAUGUGUUCCAGAGAUAGGAAAAACAAACAAACAAUGUACAGUAUCAUCAAAAUUUAAGGCCAAAAGUAGUCUUUGGAGGCCAUCAGGUUUGACAUCCGGCUGAACAUAGGUCUGUCCUCAAAAGUACAGACAAAUUAGGAAAGGACAUAGAAUGAAGAUUCCACAGUGUUCCUUUCCUCAGGCUUAACCAGUCCCUCUGUGGAGAUUUUUUUCCUCAUAUACAGACAGAAUUUCCCUGUUGCAGCUUGUGACCACUGUCUCUUCUUAUUUUGUUAUUUGCCACCAAGAAAAGUCUCUCUAGUUUUUCACUUUCCAACUUUAGAUACGUGAAUAUUAUUAGACCCCUGAGCUUGUUCUUCUUGAACUGAACAUACUGUAUUCCAUCAGUUUCUUCAUUUGUGUCUUCUCUUCCAUUACUCAGGCAUCUUAGUGCUGCACUGAAAAUCAUCUGAUAUUUUGCUGAUAUAAACCAGAAAUAUUCCUCAUAUGAAGGUACAGAGUGCUAACCAUCAUAUUGAUCAGAGAAAUAUUUGGCUGAAAAUAUGUUGCUGUACUGAGCCAAAGCGAAAUCAAAAAGCAAGGAAAACAACCAGAACAGGACUAUUUGAAGAAAGCCGCCAAAGUGUUUUCAAGCUCAGUAUUAUUGAGAGUCAUUCAAAUGGAAGCAUAAACAGGAUGGCUGCAGCUGGAGGGAAAAGUUAUACCAGACUGCCAUCAAGAUCUCAGCAGGCAAUGAAAAAU
Molecule: long non-coding RNA, 782 nt
Filed under: Coturnix japonica (Japanese quail)
Lineage: Eukaryota; Metazoa; Chordata; Aves; Galliformes; Phasianidae
Description: lncRNA (ENSCJPG00005008174.1)
Source: RNAcentral